Molecule: ribosomal RNA, 153 nt
Filed under: uncultured soil bacterium
Lineage: Bacteria
Description: partial 16S ribosomal RNA
Rfam family: Bacterial small subunit ribosomal RNA
Source: RNAcentral
CAGGACGAACGCUGGCGGCGUGCCUAACACAUGCAAGUCGAACGGGACCAGGGGCAACUCUGGUUCAGUGGCGGACGGGUGCGUAACACGUGAGGAACAUGACCUUGGCGGGGGAUAGCCGGCCCAACGGCCGGGUAAUACCGCGUACGACCA